This 211-nucleotide long non-coding RNA is filed under the name Olea europaea (common olive). RNAcentral's name for it is "long non-coding RNA (OEUR_LNC011002)". Lineage: Eukaryota; Viridiplantae; Streptophyta; Magnoliopsida; Lamiales; Oleaceae. The record is from RNAcentral.
AGCAAUUAACAGUAUUUUCAUGUUCUCAGCUAUUAUGUAAAUGAAAAUACAAAGACAUUUCCAACUAAAUGUAAAUCUCCAUUUUUUACACUAAAAAGACCUAGAUAUCCCGGUAAAGAUCCAAACUUUUCCACACAACUUAUAAGAAUAUUGUAUAUAGAGUCCUCUAAUCAAAAUAUCUAAACCCCAUAAUCUUGAAUCCAUGAUUUUU